AGUUCUUACUGCCUGGAGAUGAAGCCCUGGAACCAGGGUGGAAAACUUCCAUCACACAGGAUAAGCACAGCCUGAGUCUCCACAAACCACUUAAGGAUGGGCUCCGUCUGUCCGCUGUCCGUGAUUUAGCACAUGUCAGCAGUCAACAGAAGAGAGGAGUGAGACAACGAACAACAUUGAUUACUCUGACUGAAACUGACCGCAGUCAGCGACUAGCGAGCAGGAACACGCUGCUGCAGGGACUCACUCGUGCGCUUUUCCACGGAUCCAUGAAAGAAGCGUAUCGCAUGAAAAGGAUUCAAAACGGAACAUAUUUGUUGGUGAUGACAGAUCACAAUGGCUGUGUUCAAGCAGCAGCAGGUUGAGAAUUUCUAUGAGAUUGGAGAGGAACUUGGAAGUGGGCAGUUUGCAAUUGUUAAGCAGUGUCGUGAAAAGAGCUCAGGCCAGGAUUUUGCAGCUAAGUUCAUAAAGAAGCGCCAGAGUAAUGCUAGCCGGCGAGGUGUGCUCCGAGAAGAGAUUGAGCGAGAGGUCAACAUCCUACAGCAGAUACACCAUCCUAAUAUUGUCAUGCUACAUGAUGUGUUUGAGAACAAGACAGAUGUGGUGCUGAUUUUGGAGCUUGUGUCUGGAGGAGAGCUUUUCGACUUUCUGGCACAGAAAGAGUCUUUAAGUGAGGAGGAAGCCACACAGUUUAUUAAACAGAUUCUAGAGGGCGUUCACUAUUUACACAUGAGGAAUAUCGCUCAUUUUGACCUGAAGCCUGAAAACAUCAUGCUUCUGGAUAAGAACGCCCCACUUCCCCGGAUCAAACUCAUUGAUUUUGGCUUGGCCCACAAGAUUGCUGAAGGGGUUGAAUUUAAAAACAUCUUUGGAACACCAGAGUUUGUUGCCCCAGAAAUUGUGAAUUAUGAACCACUGGGACUGGAAGCAGAUAUGUGGAGUGUUGGCGUCAUUACAUAUAUUCUGUUGAGCGGAGCAUCUCCUUUCCUAGGAGAAACGAAGCAAGACACCCUGGGAAAUAUCUCGGCCAUGAACUAUGAGUUUGAUGAUGAAUUCUUUGGCCACACCAGUGAGCUUGCCAAGAAUUUUAUACGACAACUGCUGGAAAAGGACACCAAAAAGAGACUCACAAUUCAAGAUGCCUUGAACCACCCCUGGAUCAAGUCUAAUGAGCAUAAGGACGAGCGCAGUAAAGCACCAGAGAGGAAGAGAGAGCGUAGGCAGCUGAAGACGAAGCGUCUCAAAGAGUACACCAUCAAGUCCCACUCUAGCAUGCCACCUAAUAACACCUACAUCAACUUUGAACGCUUCGCACAGGUGGAGGAGGAUGUGUCAGCAAUGGAGGGCACUUUCUGCCAGCUGGCGUCGGCUCACGACUCCUUGCAGGAAGACAUUGAUGCGCUAGUGUCCAUCUACAAUGAGAAGGAGAUGUGGUACAAAGAAGAAAGUGAAAGCAUCAGACACGAGUUGUCCCAGCUUCGUUAUGAGUUUCGUAAAGUCGAAGCCCAGAGGCGGGGCGUUCACGAAGACAUGAGGAGCGUGGAUGCCAGCGUUAGCCGAGUGAGCGAGCGAUAUAAGGAGAGGCAGACACGUUUUGAGGCCCUUCAGAAGGAGCUCUGUGCCGAGCUGCAGUGGGUACAGGAAGUGGUUGGUUCAUUCCAGGUCACCUUCCCAAGCUGUAGCUUUAGCAGCGUGUUUAAUACUGAUGUCAAUGAAGCUCUGAAAGAGUUGCUGAAUAGAUCCUGUGGAGGAGACCUGCUGACAGGCAGCAAUCUGGACCAGCAGAGAUGACACAUUAAUAACCCACCACCCACUGAUCACACAUCGUUAUAUAAACACGGGCGAGGUAAACAUGAUGAAGAGACUGAAUAAAAGCAGCAAUAAUAUAUACACCGAUCAGGCAUAACAUAUGACCACCUUCCUAAUAUUGUGUUGGUCCCCCUUUUGCUGCCAAAACAGUCCUGACUCCUUGAGGCAUGGACUCCACUAAGACCCCUGAAGGUGUGCUGUGGUAUCUGGCACCAAGACGUUAACAGUAGAUCCUUUAAAUCCUGUAAGUUGCUAGGUGGGGCCUCUAUGGAUCGGACUUGUUUGUUCAGCACAUCCCACAGAUGCUCGACUGGAUUGAGAUCUAGGGAAUUUGGAGGCCAAGUCAACACCUCAAACUUGUUGUUGUGCUCCUCAAACCAUUCCUGAACCAUUUUUGCUUUGUGGUGAAAGAAGCCACAGCCACCAGGGAAUACCGUUUCCAUUAAAGGGUGUACAUGGUCUGCAACAAUGCUUAGGUAGGUGGUACAUGUCAAAGUAACACUCACAUGGAUGGAAGGACUCAAGGUUUCCCAGCAGAACAUUUCCCAAAGCAUCACACUGCCUCCGCCGGCUUGCCUUCUUCCCAUAGUGCAUCCUGGUGCCAUGUGCCCAGGUAAGCAACGCAUAUGCACCCGGCCAUCCAUGUGAUGUAAAAGAAAACGUGAUUCAUCAGACCAGGCCACCUUCUUCCGUUGCUCCGUGGUCCAGUUCUGAUGCUCACGUGUCCACUGUUGGUGCUUUCGGCGGUGGACAG
Molecule: RNA transcript, 2563 nt
Organism: Megalobrama amblycephala (Wuchang bream)
Lineage: Eukaryota; Metazoa; Chordata; Actinopteri; Cypriniformes; Xenocyprididae
Gene: dapk2a
Gene name: death-associated protein kinase 2a
Exons: 13
Source: RefSeq, a predicted model, not a curated record